ACGGAAGGCAGCAGUGGGGAAUAUUGGGCAAUGGGCGAAAGCCUGACCCAGCAACGCCGCGUGAGGGAAGAAGGUUUUCGGAUUGUAAACCUCUGUCCUAAGGGAAGAAGGAAGUGACGGUACCUUAGGAGGAAGCCCCGGCUAACUACGUGCCAGCAGCCGCGGUAAUACGUAGGGAGCAAGCGUUAUCCGGAAUUACUGGGUGUAAAGGGAGUGUAGGCGGGACUGUAAGUCAGAUGUGAAAUAUGCCGGCUCAACUGGCAGACUGCAUUUGAAACUGCGGUUCUUGAGUGAAGUAGAGGUAAGCGGAAUUCCUAGUGUAGCGGUGAAAUGCGUAGAUAUUAGGAGGAACAUCAGUGGCGAAGGCGGCUUACUGGGCUUUAACUGACGCUGAGGCUCGAAAGCGUGGGGAGCAAACAGGAUUAGAUACCCUGGUA
RNAcentral lists this ribosomal RNA (437 nucleotides) under uncultured Ruminococcus sp. Its description in RNAcentral is "bacterial SSU rRNA". It matches the Rfam family "Bacterial small subunit ribosomal RNA", at positions 341 to 792 of the family's 1533-position model. Lineage: Bacteria; Bacillati; Bacillota; Clostridia; Eubacteriales; Oscillospiraceae. The record is from RNAcentral.